GACGAACGCUGGCGGCGUGCCUAAUACAUGCAAGUAGAACGCUGAAGAGAGGAGCUUGCUCUUCUUGGAUGAGUUGCGAACGGGUGAGUAACGCGUAGGUAACCUGCCUUGUAGCGGGGGAUAACUAUUGGAAACGAUAGCUAAUACCGCAUAACAAUGGAUGACACAUGUCAUUUAUUUGAAAGGGGCAAUUGCUCCACUACAAGAUGGACCUGCGUUGUAUUAGCUAGUAGGUGAGGUAAUGGCUCACCUAGGCGACGAUACAUAGCCGACCUGAGAGGGUGAUCGGCCACACUGGGACUGAGACACGGCCCAGACUCCUACGGGAGGCAGCAGUAGGGAAUCUUCGGCAAUGGGGGCAACCCUGACCGAGCAACGCCGCGUGAGUGAAGAAGGUUUUCGGAUCGUAAAGCUCUGUUGUAAGUCAAGAACGGGUGUGAGAGUGGAAAGUUCACACUGUGACGGUAGCUUACCAGAAAGGGACGGCUAACUACGUGCCAGCAGCCGCGGUAAUACGUAGGUCCCGAGCGUUGUCCGGAUUUAUUGGGCGUAAAGCGAGCGCAGGCGGUUUGAUAAGUCUGAAGUUAAAGGCUGUGGCUCAACCAUAGUUCGCUUUGGAAACUGUCAAACUUGAGUGCAGAAGGGGAGAGUGGAAUUCCAUGUGUAGCGGUGAAAUGCGUAGAUAUAUGGAGGAACACCGGUGGCGAAAGCGGCUCUCUGGUCUGUAACUGACGCUGAGGCUCGAAAGCGUGGGGAGCGAACAGGAUUAGAUACCCUGGUAGUCCACGCCGUAAACGAUGAGUGCUAGGUGUUGGAUCCUUUCCGGGAUUCAGUGCCGCAGCUAACGCAUUAAGCACUCCGCCUGGGGAGUACGACCGCAAGGUUGAAACUCAAAGGAAUUGACGGGGGCUCGCACAAGCGGUGGAGCAUGUGGUUUAAUUCGAAGCAACGCGAAGAACCUUACCAGGUCUUGACAUCCCGAUGCUAUUUCUAGAGAUAGAAAGUUACUUCGGUACAUCGGUGACAGGUGGUGCAUGGUUGUCGUCAGCUCGUGUCGUGAGAUGUUGGGUUAAGUCCCGCAACGAGCGCAACCCCUAUUGUUAGUUGCCAUCAUUCAGUUGGGCACUCUAGCGAGACUGCCGGUAAUAAACCGGAGGAAGGUGGGGAUGACGUCAAAUCAUCAUGCCCCUUAUGACCUGGGCUACACACGUGCUACAAUGGUUGGUACAACGAGUUGCGAGUCGGUGACGGCGAGCUAAUCUCUUAAAGCCAAUCUCAGUUCGGAUUGUAGGCUGCAACUCGCCUACAUGAAGUCGGAAUCGCUAGUAAUCGCGGAUCAGCACGCCGCGGUGAAUACGUUCCCGGGCCU
This 1369-nucleotide ribosomal RNA is filed under the name uncultured bacterium. RNAcentral describes it as "bacterial SSU rRNA". It matches the Rfam family "Bacterial small subunit ribosomal RNA", at positions 28 to 1381 of the family's 1533-position model. The record is from RNAcentral.